RNAcentral lists this ribosomal RNA (253 nucleotides) under uncultured bacterium. RNAcentral describes it as "partial 16S ribosomal RNA". It matches the Rfam family "Bacterial small subunit ribosomal RNA", at positions 524 to 776 of the family's 1533-position model. The record is from RNAcentral.
UACGAAGGGGGCAAGCGUUGUUCGGAAUUACUGGGCGUAAAGGGCGCGCAGGCGGCCAAUCAAGUCAGAUGUGAAAGCCCCGGGCUCAACCUGGGAAUAGCAUUUGGGACUGGUUGGCUAGAGAUCGGGAGAGGAGAGUGGAAUUCCCAGUGUAGAGGUGAAAUUCGUAGAUAUUGGGAAGAACACCGGUGGCGAAGGCGGCUCUCUAGUACGGUACUGACGCUGAGACGCGAAAGCGUGGGGAGCAAACAGG